Molecule: ribosomal RNA, 253 nt
Filed under: uncultured bacterium
Lineage: Bacteria
Description: partial 16S ribosomal RNA
Rfam family: Bacterial small subunit ribosomal RNA
Source: RNAcentral
UACGUAGGGUGCGAGCGUUGUCCGGAAUUACUGGGCGUAAAGAGCUCGUAGGCGGCUUGUCACGUCGGGUGUGGAAAGCCCGGGGCUUAACCCCGGGUCUGCAUUCGAUACGGGCUAGCUAGAGUAUGGUAGGGGAGAUCGGAAUUCCUGGUGUAGCGGUGAAAUGCGCAGAUAUCAGGAGGAACACCGGUGGCGAAGGCGGAUCUCUGGGCCAUUACUGACGUGAGGAGCGAAAGCGUGGGGGGCGAACAGG